AUUCCCUUAGUAACGGCGAGUGAACCGGGAUGAGCUCAAAUUUAAAAUCUGGCGUCUUUCAGGCGUCCGAGUUGUAAUCUAUAGAGGCGUUUUCCGCGCCGGACCGCGUCCAAGUCUCUUGGAAUAGAGUAUCAAAGAGGGUGACAAUCCCGUACUUGACGCGACAACCGGUGCUCUGUGAUACGUUCUCAAUGAGUCGAGUUGUUUGGGAAUGCAGCUCUAAAUGGGUGGUAAAUUCCAUCUAAGGCUAAAUAUUGGCGAGAGACCGAUAGCGAACAAGUACCGUGAGGGAAAGAUGAAAAGCACUUUGGAAAGAGAGUUAAACAGCACGUGAAAUUGUUAAAAGGGAAACGAUUGAAGUCAGUCGUGUGAAAGGUAUUCAGCCGUCUCUGGCGGUGUAUUUGCCUUUCACGGGUCAACAUCAGUUUGAUCCGGUAGAAAAAGGCGGGAGGAAGGUGGCACCCUCGGGUGUGUUAUAGCCUCCUGUCAUAUGUGCCGGACCAGACUGAGGAACGCAGCUUGCCGCAAGGCCGGGGUUCGCCCACGUACAAGCUUAGGAUGUUGACAUAAUGGCUUUAAACGACCCGUCUUGAAACACGGAC
Molecule: ribosomal RNA, 602 nt
Filed under: Vishniacozyma victoriae
Lineage: Eukaryota; Fungi; Basidiomycota; Tremellomycetes; Tremellales; Bulleribasidiaceae
Description: eukaryotic LSU rRNA
Rfam family: Eukaryotic large subunit ribosomal RNA
Source: RNAcentral